This 440-nucleotide ribosomal RNA is filed under the name uncultured bacterium. RNAcentral describes it as "partial 16S ribosomal RNA". It matches the Rfam family "Bacterial small subunit ribosomal RNA", at positions 338 to 795 of the family's 1533-position model. The record is from RNAcentral.
CCUACGGGAGUCAGCAGUGGGGAAUAUUGCACAAUGGGGGAAACCCUGAUGCAGCGACGCCGCGUGAGCGAUGAAGUAUUUCGGUAUGUAAAGCUCUAUCAGCAGGGAAGAAAAUGACGGUACCUGACUAAGAAGCCCCGGCUAACUACGUGCCAGCAGCCGCGGUACUACGUAGGGGGCAAGCGUUAUCCGGAUUUACUGGGUGUAAGGGGAGCGUAGACGGGGGUGCAAGUCAGAUGUGAAAGCCCGGGGCUCAACCCCGGGACUGCUCUGGAAACUGUCCGGCUGGAGUGCGGGAGGGGUAGGCGGAAUUCCUGGUGUAGCGGUGAAAUGCGUAGAUAUCAGGAGGAACACCGGCGGCGAAGGCGGCCUGCUGGACCGCGACUGACGUUGAGGCUCGAAAGCGUGGGGAGCGAACAGGAUUAGAUACCCUGUUAGUC